UACGUAGGUGGCAAGCGUUGUCCGGAAUCAUUGGGCGUAAAGCGCGCGUAGGCGGCCCUGUAAGUCCGUUGUGAAAGUCAAAGGCUCAACCUUUGAAAGCCGAUGGAUACUGCAGGGCUAGAGUCCGGAAGAGGCGAGUGGAAUUCCUGGUGUAGCGGUGGAAUGCGCAGAUAUCAGGAGGAACACCAAUAGCGAAGGCAGCUCGCUGGGACGGUACUGACGCUAAGGCGCGAAAGCGUGGGGAGCGAACAGG
RNAcentral lists this ribosomal RNA (253 nucleotides) under uncultured bacterium. Its description in RNAcentral is "partial 16S ribosomal RNA". It matches the Rfam family "Bacterial small subunit ribosomal RNA", at positions 524 to 776 of the family's 1533-position model. The record is from RNAcentral.